GAUGAACGCUGGCGGCGUGCCUAAUACAUGCGAGUCGAGCGAACGGACGAGAAGCUUGCUUCUCUGAUGUUAGCGGCGGACGGGUGAGUAACACGUGGAUAACCUACCUAUAAGACUGGGAUAACUUCGGGAAACCGGAGCUAACACCGGAUAAUAUUUUGAACCGCAUGGUUCAAAAGUGAAAGACGGUCUUGCUGUCACUUAUAGAUGGAUCCGCGCUGCAUUAGCUAGUUGGUAAGGUAACGGCUUACCAAGGCAACGAUGCAUAGCCGACCUGAGAGGGUGAUCGGCCACACUGGAACUGAGACACGGUCCAGACUCCUACGGGAGGCAGCAGUAGGGAAUCUUCCGCAAUGGGCGAAAGCCUGACGGAGCAACGCCGCGUGAGUGAUGAAGGUCUUCGGAUCGUAAAACUCUGUUAUUAGGGAAGAACAUAUGUGUAAGUAACUGUGCACAUCUUGACGGUACCUAAUCAGAAAGCCACGGCUAACUACGUG
Molecule: ribosomal RNA, 497 nt
Filed under: uncultured bacterium
Lineage: Bacteria
Description: partial 16S ribosomal RNA
Rfam family: Bacterial small subunit ribosomal RNA
Source: RNAcentral